Non-coding RNA from Odocoileus virginianus texanus, 2493 nucleotides. The record is from RefSeq and is a predicted model, not a curated record. Lineage: Eukaryota; Metazoa; Chordata; Mammalia; Artiodactyla; Cervidae.
GCAGGGAGGCUACAGCGGGCCGGGGCUCCAGCAGGGGGUGCGCGCGCCUCGCCACUGCCUUUCCAGCCUAGUAAUUCCUACAGUGUGUUGUGAGCUGCCGAUGGGGUGCAGAUUCUUCAUCACUGGACUGCCAGAGAUGUCCCGACACAUAUAUUUUUGUGCACAUAUGCUUCUAGUCCUGAAGACCAAGGAAUGUGAUCAUGAAUCUUUGUGUGUGUGUGUGUGAUCAUGAAUCUUACAGGUUACAAAUAUGUAUUUGUCUAGUGCGUGUUUUGUCUGGUAUCACAUGCCUUAGAAUGCAAUUUCUCAAAAGGAAAACUCUGUAAUGUGUAUGUGCCAUAAAUGUCAGGCAUGUUGUGGUUCCUUAACACAUAUUUUAAAACAAUAAUAGUUUGCAGAAUAGCCAGUAAAUUCAUAUGACAUAAUUAGCUAAAUACCAGUAGGGGUAUUUUCUUUAAGUGGGUCUCUUGAACCGCAGAUUCAGAGAGCGUGCUUUCCAUAACCCGAAGGAUGUUGGCUGUUCUUUACAGGAAGCCCAGAGAGUCUCUUCAGGCUUCUUCUUAUAACAAACACCUACUUGAACUAUGAUUUUGGAAUCAUUUCCAUUGCAAAUCCCCUCUUUCCACACCCCUUUAAAAGGCAGCUGCAAUAUUUGGCAUGUAACCAGGGCCUGCUGCACCAACAAUUCUCUAAAUUUUAUUUAUAUUUCAUGCGCAGUAUGUUCAAACUCUCACUUUCCCAGGUGCCAGAUGCUGGUUUGGACACACUCCAGUGGAAAGUGCUUUCCUAUAAAAUAAUAAAAGGAAAAUGCUGAACAAACCACCUCUUUAUACAGACUUGUACCUAGUAUACCAGAGUUAAGUACUGUAAUAAUGACUUCACUAUUUCCCCCAAUUUGCAAUCCCCUGAAUUCCCUCCUCACCUCCCUCCACAACAAAUACUUUGUCUCUAGGCAUCAGUAAGAUGCUUAUGGUCCUCUUACAUUUCUUCAGCGUUCACUUAAAAGCAUCAGGGUAUAGGAGUCUGUCUUACAUGAUUUGGAUCGCACCUGAUGCAACUCACCCAUGGGCAUUUCAACUAUACGAUUUGGAUGAGAAAAAACAUUUUAACCCACUUCCAGAAUUUUGAAAAGAUAUCUAACAAAUUAAUGUCUGCUAUGUUAAUGGCUUUUAUAUGUUUUCACUAAAAAGUGAUGCUUUCCAUGUGUUGGUAAUAAUACUGUCUCUUCAGUCACACAGAAUUUUGCCAAGACACUCAGAAUGAACUCAGAAUUCACCAUUGUCAUAGGGUUCUUGCCUGCCUAAAGGCAAUCCUCAAUCCGAAGAGCCUACUUAUGAAAUGAGCAGCAGUGUUAGGUGGAUACUGAGAAAGUGGCUAUCAUUCAAGAGAUUGUCAGUCCACCCGUGGUGUCCACCUCCACCUGUUUCACCAGUUUCUGUGGUAACAUUUCACUGAGCUGAGAACCAGUACAAUUCCUUGUUCUAUCCCAGAAACACUGGGAACCUUAGGCACGAAAAUUUAUGUUUGUGCCAAAAAGCUUGUGGUUAUAUUAUGAGGUUUAAAUGAACUCUUGUAAAGUGGGUUAUGGGGUGUGUGUGUGUAUGGGUGUGUGUGUGUGUGUAUGGGUGUGUGUGUGUGUGUGUGUGUGUGUGUGUGUGUGUGUGUGUGUGUGUGUGUGUGUAAAGCAGCUAUAAAAUACAAUAUUCUGCAUGGUUGCUGGUAUCCCUUUGUCUUGUCUUGCUCUUUCCACUAGAUGGCGGUGGAAGCCCAAGAAAUAACUUGCAAAGGCCUGGUGGAGGGCGGUAAGAGGGGUGUUCUUUCCUUUAACUGGGUUGUUGGUAGCUGAGCUGGCACGUUCUUGUUCCUCUGUUGCGAGUGGGCAUGGUAUAAUUUUUCUUUUUUCGUGUAUGUGUUGGGGGGAGGCCGGAAGAGUUGCCACAGACCACCUGUUUAAUCCAGGUUCAAUUUAAGCAUAGGGCAGCAUCUCGCCAGCUGGCAAAAAAAAAAAAAAAAUCCAUAGAAUUUCUCUCAACUAUUAACAGACUUGGGUAGAAGCUAGGGAACCGUUUCCGGAGAGCAGCCAGCAUCGAUUUAGAGAUGCUGCGGCAUCUGUUGCCUAUAUUUGUGGAGAUGGAAGAGAGCCACUCGCUGGUGAGGUAUGACCGCGGCGACCUGGGGACUGAAAUCCACACUGCGACCUGCGAUCAACCCACAAGUACUUAUGGAUUCCCUCCCAUAUGCCCAUCACUGUAUCAGAAGCUACAUAAGAAACAUAAGAGGUGGCGUCCUCCCGGCCUCUUGUGGUGGAGAACACAAAACAUACAGAGAGAUCAGCAAGACCUCGCCGGACUAAGUUAUCAUUGUGUGAAGACGGUCCCAGGCAUUUCCAACAGACCGGAGAGUCUCAGGUCAUCCUUCUUGCCAGGACUAUCUCCGGAGCACUUUGGCCACGCGGCGGGAGCUCGCGCCGCCGGCCGCAGCCAGAGCUCGGGA